Molecule: small RNA, 28 nt
Filed under: Bombyx mori (domestic silkworm)
Lineage: Eukaryota; Metazoa; Arthropoda; Insecta; Lepidoptera; Bombycidae
Description: ovarian small RNA-18550
Source: RNAcentral
UAACAAUGGUGUAAAUAUUUGAAAAAUC